AUGGCGGCCAGCCAUGCCCACUCGCCGACCCUUUCCUCGUCCGAAACCAUAAUGGCCGCCCUCCUAUCAUCCGUUCCCGCCGUGCGGCUCCCUUCGCUCGUCCGGGCGCUUGCCGCAGACGCGCGCCGGCAGCGCGGCCGCCUCGCAUUCCUCCUCCUCUCGCUGCCGCAUUUCGCCCGCGCCCUCGCGCGGCUCCGCUCCAUGCCGCUCCCAGCCAAGGCCGCGCUGCUCGGCCGCGUGCUCCUCCGCUCACUCCUCAUGCUGCUCCCGGCGCUCUCCCCCGACGGCUCCCACCACCUUCUACGCCUCCCGACGCCCGACCUCGACGCCGCGCUCCUGCUCGUGGCCAUGUGCGACUCCUACUCCCCGGCCGCCUCCUCCGCGUCGCCCGUGGACUGGCACGCGCUGCUCGUCGACGACGUGGUGCGCAACGCGCUCUCCAUCUCCGGCCUCGGCGGCACGCCUUGGGCCACUGUCGCCCCCUACCUCGACGCGGCCGCUAAGUGCCGCCGGUUCGCGGACGUCGUGUCGGAGGACCGCGCCGUGGCCGGCGUCGGCAGCGGCAACAAGGACAGCGUGGGGCGCGGAGGCGCGUCGCACGCGACCGUGCUGGCGCUGCCGACCGCGCCCGGGGACGGGACCCCGUGCGCGAUCUGCAGGGAGGAGAUGGCGCCCGGGCGCGGCGGGGUGUGCGUGCUGCGUCCCUGCGGGCACCGAUUCCACUGGCCGUGCGCGCUGCGGUGGCUGGCGCGCCGCAACACCUGCCCGUGCUGCCGCGCCGAGCUGCCCGCGGAGGACGCGCUCGCCGAGACCCGGCGCCUGUGGCGCGCGGUCGACAGGAUGGCGGGAGACAGCGGCGGCUGUGCGUGA
This 870-nucleotide ribosomal RNA is filed under the name Triticum aestivum (bread wheat). Its description in RNAcentral is "partial small subunit ribosomal RNA". Lineage: Eukaryota; Viridiplantae; Streptophyta; Magnoliopsida; Poales; Poaceae. The record is from RNAcentral.